GACGAACGCUGGCGGCGUGCCUAAUACAUGCAAGUAGAACGCUGAAGGAGGAGCUUGCUCUUCUGGAUGAGUUGCGAACGGGUGAGUAACGCGUAGGUAACCUGCCUGGUAGCGGGGGAUAACUAUUGGAAACGAUAGCUAAUACCGCAUAACAGUAGAUGUUGCAUGACAUUUACUUAAAAGGUGCAAUUGCAUCACUGCCAGAUGGACCUGCGUUGUAUUAGCUAGUUGGUGGGGUAACGGCUCACCAAGGCGACGAUACAUAGCCGACCUGAGAGGGUGAUCGGCCACACUGGGACUGAGACACGGCCCAGACUCCUACGGGAGGCAGCAGUAGGGAAUCUUCGGCAAUGGACGGAAGUCUGACCGAGCAACGCCGCGUGAGUGAAGAAGGUUUUCGGAUCGUAAAGCUCUGUUGUAAGAGAAGAACGAGUGUGAGAGUGGAAAGUUCACACUGUGACGGUAUCUUACCAGAAAGGGACGGCUAACUACGUG
This 495-nucleotide ribosomal RNA is filed under the name uncultured bacterium. Its description in RNAcentral is "partial 16S ribosomal RNA". It matches the Rfam family "Bacterial small subunit ribosomal RNA", at positions 28 to 507 of the family's 1533-position model. The record is from RNAcentral.